RNAcentral lists this ribosomal RNA (253 nucleotides) under uncultured bacterium. RNAcentral describes it as "partial 16S ribosomal RNA". It matches the Rfam family "Bacterial small subunit ribosomal RNA", at positions 524 to 776 of the family's 1533-position model. The record is from RNAcentral.
UACGUAGGAUGCAAGCGUUGUCCGGAAUUAUUGGGCGUAAAGGGCGCGUAGGCGGUGCGGUAAGUCACCUGUGAAAUCUCCUGGCUCAACUGGGAGCUUGCAGGCGAAACUGCCGUGCUGGAGUGUGGGAGAGGUGCGUGGAAUUCCUGGUGUAGCGGUGAAAUGCGUAGAUAUCAGGAGGAACACCUGUGGCGAAAGCGGCGCACUGGACCACAACUGACGCUGAGGCGCGAAAGCUAGGGGAGCAAACAGG